This 496-nucleotide ribosomal RNA is filed under the name uncultured bacterium. Its description in RNAcentral is "partial 16S ribosomal RNA". It matches the Rfam family "Bacterial small subunit ribosomal RNA", at positions 29 to 507 of the family's 1533-position model. The record is from RNAcentral.
AUGAACGCUGGCGGCGUGCCUAAUACAUGCAAGUCGAGCGAACAGACGAGGAGCUUGCUCCUCUGACGUUAGCGGCGGACGGGUGAGUAACACGUGGAUAACCUACCUAUAAGACUGGGAUAACUUCGGGAAACCGGAGCUAAUACCGGAUAAUAUAUUGAACCGCAUGGUUCAAUAGUGAAAGACGGUUUUGCUGUCACUUAUAGAUGGAUCCGCGCCGCAUUAGCUAGUUGGUAAGGUAACGGCUUACCAAGGCAACGAUGCGUAGCCGACCUGAGAGGGUGAGCGGCCACACUGGAACUGAGACACGGUCCAGACUCCUACGGGAGGCAGCAGUAGGGAAUCUUCCGCAAAGGGCGAAAGCUUGACGGAGCAACGCCGCGUGAGUGAUGAAGGUCUUCGGAUCGUAAAACUCUGUUAUUAGGGAAGAACAAAUGUGUAAGUAACUAUGCACGUCUUGACGGUACCUAAUCAGAAAGCCACGGCUAACUACGUG